Long non-coding RNA from Passer domesticus (house sparrow), 13832 nucleotides. RefSeq lists it as uncharacterized. Lineage: Eukaryota; Metazoa; Chordata; Aves; Passeriformes; Passeridae. The transcript is spliced from 5 exons. The record is from RefSeq and is a predicted model, not a curated record.
AACAUACACUUCACAGGUGUGUGUGUGUUUAUGAACACAUAUACAAGCAGAUUUGUCAGAUUUGUUAAGGAUGUGAUUCAGCCUUUAAAAAACAACACUUACUUAUAUGUGCUAUAUCUCAUCUGCAUGUAUGCAAAUUUGAAAAGUAAAGAGUCACGUCUGUCCUUCCCACAAAAUUUAAAAAUUUGAAGACAUUUUAACAGUUCCCUAAUCAGCAGCCUGCUCUCUAUUGCAUCAAUGGUUAACUGCUCCUCAACUGCUGUAAUAAAAAUCUGUAGCCUCUCCCCAAACUGUCACAAGUGUUGUGAUCAACACACAAAGAGUUUGCUGGAUCUCUAAUUAGCUGGCACUAGUUUAAAUCAUGUCUUACCCCCACAGCCUGUUGGAACGUAGGACAUUCCUCUGGCUGCCCUGGGUGAUCCGAGACCCUGGCAACGGCCUCAGAGGCCUUGGCACAGAGUCAGAAACAUCUGUGCCUUUGAUUUUAGCCCAUGGAAAAAAUUACCAGCUUUGUGUGAAGAUGUACAAGCCACAAGAGUUUGAGUAGAAUAAUAGUUAAUUUUUCACAGGGUGAAAAAGUAGAAUUUUGGGAUUUUAGAAUGGGGGUUCAACAGGCAAGAUGGAGGAAUUUGGGCAUGUCCUGCCCCUUCUCCUUCUUCUUGUCCUCCAUCUUCUGCUGUGAUGGUGACAUUUCUUGAUUAUUUUAGAGUAGAGAUAGACAAUAUAACAUACGUAUUGCAAAAUUAUUAUAAAUAAAGUACAUGUAGUUUUUAGUAUAAAAUUAACACCACCCCAAGGGCAGUCAGUGUGCUGCAACCUGACCUGCUAGACAGAUCUCAGCUGGUCAGGGAAAGAAUGUUAUAGAUAACGAAAAAUAAACAUCCUUGAAAAGCAGAACCAAUGAAUCUCGACUUCUCUGGUUGCAGGGCUGGAAGAAAAAAGGCUUUCUACUACCUCGGGGUCAUCUCAACCUCAGAACCCUGACAACAGCCCAGCUCACAAAUAAAAAUAUAUAGCUUUUAAAUUAAAUAUACAGGCAAAAUACAUUAGUAAGAAAAUAUUUACAGCUCACAGGUAAAAAUAAAACUCCUUCCCUUUUCCCUUGCUGUUAUUUUAUUUGCUUUAAAGUGGAGACAGAACUAGAGUUGCCUAACCAUUUUUGAGGAGCUGAGCACUAUUUUAGCAUGUCCUGAUGGCUGCAUUGUCAUUGCGAUUGCACAAAGGUUUAAGAGCAGGAGUGAGGCCCCCUACUUACCACCUGGAUGACAUUGUUUACACAGUUAAGAUAAACAACAGGUUAUCUAAGACUGCAUAGCCCUCAUAGACUCAUAGAUUAAGGAAGGAAUAGUGUCAUGGUAUUUUUACUUUGUAAAAAGAAAAAAAAAAGAGCUCUGAUCCAUCAUUUGUUUGGGGGAAAUUUUAUAGUAAUUUUGGCCUUGUUAAAUCAAAUUGUGAAUCAUCUUCUGGGCUUGAAGUUAAAAAUAAAAAAGGCAGGUGUGACUCCAAACUCAGCAGGAAUUGGCUACCAAUACAGUCAGAAGGAGCUCAGAGCCAAGACAUCUGCUUUCACAUCAGUAAAAUCCUGUCUAAGAGGGAGGCAUGAGGCUUAUAAGUGCUGAAGUAAUUGGUAGCUGAAGGCAAUGAAUUUCUUACUCUUCCAGAAACGACACGCUCGUGUGAGAGGCAGAGCCUCUGGAUCCAGGCACCUGUUGAGUUCUGAACUCCACACAAAUUUACAGAAGCAAUGUGGUUUUCAGUUCUGUAGUUUUAAUUAUUCUUUCCUACUGGCAGCAGCACAAUGUAUAUUCCUGAACCCAGUAUUGUUCCAGGUGAAGAAACAAACCAGUAUGAUAAAAUGCCUGUGAUAUUAAUAUAAGGAUUCAUAAAUAACACAUUUUCAUAUUUCAGGUUUCAUAAAUUGACCCUGAAUUCACAAAACAUCCUACUUUUUGAAAUGUGAUUCUGGAAAAAUCUAGUUCAGUUAAUCCUUCCCACCCCAUCACCUCCCCAUCCCCAUUUCUACAAUGGCUAGGACUUAUCUGUGUCUGUUUUGUUAGAGCUCUGAUUUUAGCUGGGUUCUGACAGUCCUUCCUCUUAGCAGCCCACCUCUGAGGAGGUUACUCAUGGUCUCCUCCAGUUUCUUGGGCAUGGUCACAGAGCUUAGUCUGCUCACCUGAUACUGUUCAGUGUUCACUGCCUACAGCCAGUCAAUAAUUUGACUUUUACGUAGAAGUGAAGAAGGUUAAAACAAACAAGAUAAUUGUAUUUUCAGUAGGCUAAAGAGUUGCUUAAAGAAACUAGGUCUCAUAUUUUAGUUACCAGGGACAACAAUUUUAAGUCUUUGAGGUCAUUUCAGUCUCUUGUGUUUUUAAAAUAGGAUACAUUGGGUACAAUACAAUGUAUUACAUGUUAACUUCUAACAUAAGCCCUUGAAAACAUCUUUCUUAGUGCAAACCUGAUACAUGGACUGUUAACUUUGACAAAAUAUGCAAGUGUAUUUGGUAUGCUUUACAAAAUUAUGUCUGGUCUCUCAUUUAUUGCAUGAUGUACUUUUGACCUGCUAAGACCUGAUGGCUGCCCAAGGGAGGUGAUGUUGGAUUCACCGACAAGUUGAAAAGAGCUAUAUUUUUUCAACAAAUUAGUGAUUCAGAUAAUUAUUUAGCAAGAUUUACUUAUUUGCAGCAUCUGAGGGCUGAUCUUACAUACUUUUUUGUUGUUAUUUUGGUUCUAAAUGUCUCAUUUUCUUUUGAUUCCUUGCCUUGCCUUGCCUCUUAUAUUUGUUCAAAUCAGUGAAUACAAAUCCUCACAAUUAAAGUCUAUUUUAAAACAUUCAUCAUUUUUUUCAAAAUAUGUGUAGUGCUAGAUUAAAUUGUUUUUUUACCAAGAUAUGAUUAUAAUUAUAAUCAGUGAUAAACAAUAACAAAUGUGAACUACAGGGCUGAAAAAGGUCCAUCAGUGUAUUUUUUACCAGAAAUUUUAACACACAAAGCUUUUGCCUUUAUAUUUCAUCUGAGAUUUUGGAUUGUUACAAUUAGGAAAUGCAUAUUAAUUCAGCAGUACAGUUUACCUGUUCUGCCUGUUGCAGUCCUAUUCAUAUACACACAACUCGUGCUACCUUACUCUAUUCUGGAGAACAUAGUGAAUAUUAAUAAAUUUUAGUGAAUAACUUAAAUUCUGUUAGAAUUAUUUGUUGUUCUGGGAUUUUGAAACAUUUGUUUGGCAAAUAUCCAUGUUUUUUCUGUUACAGAUGAACAAACUGCAUUCAUGGUUCAGUGUGAUCCAUUCAUUGGUUCAUGGAGCCCAAAGUCCUUCAGGAAGUGUGACAAAUCCACAUAAUUUCCCUGAAUGCUAGUGCUACAGCUAGACCUUUAAUUGUUGACAUGCUGCUUUAUGGAGCCGCUCAGAAGCUAUCUACAGAUGUCUGAAGAUAUCAGGUAUCAGGAGUAACAGUCCAAAUGUAAGGCAUUCUCCAUUCCAUGUUUGUGCAAAAUAUAAGAAUAAUGCCUAUUUACCUGGUACUAAUUUAAUUUUAAUUUGAGAUAUUUUGUGAAAAUUAUAAAUUAACUUUUCCCUGGUCAAAAAGGCAUUUAUAUGCAAGUGUUUAUUGUUUUUAUUGCUUUAAAUAAAUAAAUAAAUAACAUGAAAACCCAAGUUCUAAAUCAAAACAUUAAAAGAGUAGUGAAGCAUUUGUUCUCUGAAAGAAAUCCUAGUAGAUUCGUGUCCUUGUUGUUCUGAAGUGCCAAAUAUUUUAUAUAGACUUAUAAGAAAAUAAAACCAAAUACUAGAAUUUUUGAAUACUGGAAAAGAAACAGCUUAAAAAUAGCACAUAUGGUCAGUUGAUGAAACUUUUGGUUCACCAUGCCUGAUUAUUCUGUUAUACAACUAAUUUUACAAAUUCUUCUGCAUGCAGUGAAAAGAACUACUGUUUCCUAAUUUUGCAUGUUGAUAUUAUUAUUUCCCUAUAUAAAAAGUCCAGGCUUUCUUUAAACAAUGUAGUGGGUUGGCAAGGCUCUGGUAGUGGGAAGAUACAGGAGUGGCUCCUGUGAGAACUUGCUAGACGUUUUCUGCAUGUCAGAUAGAUCCAAUGCCAGCCAGAUCCAAUAUGAACCCAUCCCUGUUCAAGGCCAAGCCCAUCACCAAAGGUUGUAGCACUUCUGGGGUAAUGUAUUUAAGACAGGGAAAAAAGUUAUUGCAUAGGAGCAAUUGCAGCCAGAGAGAAGAAUGAGAACAUAUGGGAGGAACAGCUCUGCAGACUCUAAAGUCAGUGCAGAAUGAGGAGCAGGAACUACUCCAGGUUCCAGAGCUGAGAUUCCCCUGCAUCCCAUGGUGCAGCCCAUGGUGAGGCAGUUGUGCCCCUGCAGCCCAUGGAGGGCCAUGGGGAUGCAGAGAUCCACCUGUGGCCUGUGGAGGAUCCCCAUGCCUGAGCAGAUGGAUGCCUGACAGAGGCUGUGACCCCAUGGAAAACCCUGGUGGAGCAGGCUUCUGGCAGGACCUGUGGAAAGAGGAGCACAUACUGGAGAAAGUUUGCUGGGCAGGAUUUGCUGCAGUGGACCUAUGCUUGAGCAGGUUGUGCCGGAAGGACUGCACUCAGUGGAAGGGACACAGACUGGAGCAGUUUGUGAAUAACUGCAGCCCAGAGAAAGGACUCAUAUUGAAGAAGUUCGUAGACUGUCUUCCAUAGAAGAAACAUCACACUGCAGGAAGUGAAGAGUGUGAGGAAUUCUUCCUCAGAGGAGAAAGGAGAGAUAAAGACAAUGUGCAAUGAACUGACCUCAAUCCUGAUUCCCUGAGAAGUCAGGCGUAAAGUUGAGCUUGCGAAGAAGGGACGGGUGGGGAGGAUGUGUUUUAAGAUUUGGUUUUAUUCCUCAUUACCUUGCUCUGAUAUGAUUGGUAAUAAAUUAGUUUCCCCAAGUCAAAUCUGGUUUUGCCCAUGACAGUAACAGCUGAGUGAUCUCUUCUUAUGCUUGUAUCAAACUGUGAGGCUCUUUUAAUUUUCUUCUCCCUUGUUCAGUUGAGGAAGGGUAAUGAUAAGAGUGACUUGGGUGGGCACAUGGCAUCCAGCCAGGGUCUACCCACCACAGACACUCAUUUAUGGGAUCUUGUGGUUGUGGCCUUGCAGUCAGUAGCAAAGUAGCAGGUUAAAUAUUGCUGCAUUUCCAUUAGUAGCAGCUGAUUACACCUUCUUAUCUCUUGCAUCUUGAGGCCUUUUAGGUGAUAAUGUUAACUUCUUGCUACAAAUGUCUCAUGAGAUGUUGUAGUAGGGAAUCAUGGGUUUAUUUUAAAUUCAUGCUCAUAUGCACAUUCUCAUAAUUAGUAGAGAAUUCUCAUAAUUAGUAGAGAAUGUGUUUGUCUAAAUAGUCUGUCUAACAUUCAAGGAUUAACAGGCAUGUACUGAGGUGGCCUGGCCAGGACUUCCUGUGAUGCCAUGGAGUGUAGUGAGCAUCCUGAGUCAUUACCAUGGCUCUCAGCUAUUUCCUAUGUUGGCAGCUAUAAUAGUUUUUGAUACCCUUUUUAUAUCCCUUAGGAGCUGACCUCAAGUAGAUUUUUUUUAUUCUGGUAAUAGUUUUAUUCUCUCUGAGCCCUCUCAACCUUUAUACAUCAUUUUGAUUAGCUUUCUUUUCUCUCUGAAUCUUUGUGUACCUUUUGUCUUUCUGUGUACCUUUGCCCAUCCUGUUCAGGGUGUGAGCUGUCCUUUAUUUUCUUCUCAGUUUUCUUCUCCUUAGUACACUGCAUGUACCAGCACAGAGAUCUUAAAUUUCUUAUCAAGGUGCCAUAAAUGCUGGGUUUUGUACAUCCCUCUUUUGCAGUUUCAGUAUCUAGACUUUCAAUAUCCUUCGAUUCUCCAGUAUCAUUUCUGUUGCAAUUCUGACUGGGGGGACAUGACAGCAUGAGGACCUGAGAUUCAUCAAGGCCAAGUGACAGGUCCUGCACUUUGGCUACAACAAUGCCAUGCAGCACUACAGCUUGGGACAGGAGUGACUGGAAAGAAGCCUGGUGGAAAAGGACCUGAGGGUGCUGGUUGAGAGCUGCUGAACACGAGCCAUCAUGUGCCCAGUGGCCAGGAAGACCAAUGGCAUCCUGGACUGUAUCAGCAACAGUGUGCUGGGAUUGUCCCUCUGUAUUUGGCACCGGUGACACCACAAAUCCUGUGUCCAGUUCCCGGCCCCUCACUGCAAAAAAGACAUUGAGGGGUUGGAGCAAGUCUAAAGAAGGGCAACAGAGCUGGUGAAUUGGCUAGAGGGAGACAGAAUAUUUCAUCACGAGGCUGAUAUGAGACCUCAGAAUGGGAGGACUGCUUGAUACACUGGAUGGCAGGGUUUCCUUUCACAGAAACCUGGACAUGCUAGAGACGGAGUCCAACAGAAAGUCAGUAAUUCAGGAAGACAAAAAGUCCUGCUAUCUGAGAUGGAAUAAACUCAUGGAACACUACAGCCUGCCAGCCAGGAAGAUGCACUGUAGAAAAGGAUUGCACAGCCCUGGUGGACAAAACACCUGCAGCAAUGAAAGCUAACUGCAUACUGUGUUAGUAGCAGUGGAGUUGGUACAGAGAAUUCCAGGGGCAAUAUCUUGUGCAAGGACCACCACAGAGGAGAGACUAGACUUUCCACCCUGUGAUGCUACCUUUGCAUACUCUCUCAAGGCCAACACAUAACUGGAAUCUAGAAACUCAGUCCUAUCUUGUACAUUGAUGGUGGUCUGGGAUCAGAGGACUGCAACUGCUUUCCUGACCUUUUCUCUUGAGAUCUGCUGAGAUGUAGGUGAGAAAUCAAGCUCUCAAGUGCUCCAAUACUUUCUUCUAUGCAGGAAGAGAUGCAGAAAAAACACAGUUUCUGCAUUUUUUAUGAAGGCACUCACGUAAUUUUCCAAUCCAAAUCCAUGCAUCCCUACUAAAAGAGGUCUGGAAGGGACUGUGGGAGACAAACUAAUGCAAGCUUCGUAAAAAGGAGAAUAAUUUGUACCUCAGUCAUUGUUGACAAAUGCUGACACUAUCUAGCCUGUCCUUGAAAACCUCAAAUAGCAGCUACUGCAGGUACUCCAAGGUCUUUUCUGUCUUCAUUAGGUAACAUCCCUGAUGAAUCUUUACUUUUAACUGCUCUCCUGUUCACAAGCUACUUGCCUCUUUAUCUCAUUGACAGAGUCCUACUCCCUUAAAGGCUGUUUUACAUUUAACUCUCCUAAUGAUUUAUGCUCUAAAAGAAUAUAGGGGAAAAAUAUAUUGUUUGAGCUUCCGGGAAAUACUAAGCUUACUUUUUAAACAUCCUAGUUUAAUUUAAGAUAUAUUUUUGCCCUUUCACUGAACUUUUUAAAUAAGAGAACAUAGUCUAUUGGAUUUCAUUUUAAAAUUAUUAAUUUAGUAUGCAUAUUUACACUGCAUUUUGCAUGUGGCAGGUAUUGCAUUAUGAUAAUUUCACCUUCCAUUGUACAUUAGUAGCAUUAUUUAUUAAAUUUUUGUUGGUUUAUUGUUCUGGUACUGUGAGUAUAUUUGGGGGUUUGAGCUAUGUGAGGGCUUGGUCGGAUUUAUUUCUCUUGAGCUUUGUACAAUUAGUAGACCAUGUUAGUGAUGUUUCAUGUGUAUGUAUUACUAUUGUAUUAGGCACUUAGAUAAAAAUACCUUCCAUGAUUUUAGACAGCUCUAUAGUCUUAUAUUUCACCUGAGUUUUGAAAACACCAAAUAUGCAAUGGUGAAAAAUAAAGACUUCAGAGAGCCCCCUAGAUAGGUAAUACACAAUAAAUAAAAGCCACAGCUGUAUUGUCACUUUUCAGAUUGGUGUUAAUAGCAAAAUAUUUUCUUCAUAGCUCCAUUCCAAAAUAUGGCCCAUAUGUCUAUGUGUAAAGCAUACAGUAAAGAAAAAAGUGGCAUGCUUUUAGCUGAAAGGAUGAUAGGUAUAAGCAUCUUAAGUGAAAAUAUCUCAAUUUGUUUUAAUUUAAAGUCAGGACCUGACCUGAAUAAUGUGCUGAUAAUUUAUACUGAUGAGGCUUGGAUGUUUUUAUUUAGUUGCAUUAUUUUCAGAAAUCACCAUCACUUUUGCAUGAUCUUCCUAACCUAAUCUGUAUUUCUGUCCCUUUUCCCCAAAUUCUGUAAGUAGAAUAAAUAAACUUGUUUUAAAAAAUGGAGGAGAGUUUUAAGAAAUUCCAGAAAUAUUUUAAAUUACAUUGUGAACACAAUGUGGCCCAUGUAUUUUUUGUCCCUGGAGAUCUCGGAGUUUCUAAGUUCUCAACAAAUCAAAUUGUGUGACAAGGUCAUAACUAGAUCUGCAUGAUCUACAUUCUAUCAAUGUGUUAAAAUUUUCCUAUCAUGAAUCAUAUGAAAUUACAGCCUUUGGAAUUUUUUCAGGAAAAUAAAAGUGUAAGGAGCUUGCCUCCUCUUUGAUGCAUAAACCACAGGUUCCUCCCUGCCCAUUCAGCAUUUGAUUCACAAUCUUGGCCUCAUAAGCCAUCUCCUGAGUGAACAUUUGAUGAGGAAGGCCUGGAGUGUAAAUGAAGAAGUGCAUAUUCACAUCUCUGCAAUGCCUGAUUUAGACCAGAACAGGGAUUUUCAGCCUUUGCUCUGUAGACCCCUGUGGAUUUCAGCCAAAAACCCCCAGCAAAUAAAAAGCCAACUUCCCAUAUGCUGCAGAAAUCUACAGACAUGUGACAUUUCUGAAAGGAUCCACAUCUCCUUUGGGAAAUUUAUGCAGGUAAACAAACUGAAAAUGACUGAAAAACUCUAGACUAGAAAUUUGGGUUAGUCACUCUGAAUGGUUACUUAGUUCUUAUGCUGUUUGGAAGCUCAUGUGUUUUGUUGGAUGAAAUGUUUUGCUUCCUCUGAGGGGUUAUGUAUUCACUGAAUGGGUGAGGCAAAAGAUGUCUUUGAAGUCUCUGUAAAAUAUAGGUAUGGAGCUAUUUAGACAAAGUUGAACAGCUUGAGCAGAUGCUUAUCUAGAGCUUAGAGGCUGUUGUAUUCUUUUUAUUUCUUUUGCUUUUUUUUUUGAAUCAAUGCUCUAAAAUAAUAAUUAAAAAAAAUCUUCUGCAAGACAAGAGAAUGAUGAAAAUUAAAUCACUUCCAAGAAAAUGGUGAGAUUAGGCUUUCUGUAUAUUUAUGAAUCCUGAAAAAAUGCUUGGAUGAAAUCAGCAUCACCAAUUCACUCCUGUUGUUCUCCCUCAUACUGCGAGUCUUUCCGAAUCAGCAGCAAAAAUAGGAAUGAUUGAAUCAGUGAAGCUGUGAACAUUACAAGAUGCACACUCCAACAAACAUAAAAUGCGUGAGUGCCUGGUGAGCAUUAGGAAAUCUGUCACUAUGAACAAUUGAAGAUGACAAGUUUAAAUAGACCGAGGAAUUCCAGUGUUAACUUACUUUCAAACAAAAUAUUUUCAAAAUUGUCAUGAUCACUUUUUUUUACCUGAAGAUUGUCUGCAUGAAAAUAAGUGAAUUUAAAUUCCUUUUACAUAAAUGAAAAAAAUAAUUCUGGGAAAACAUUAAAAAUAAACACAAGAGCAUUUGUGCACUGAUCAGUUUCCCUUUUUUUGCUAGAAAUUUCAAGAACACCUUUCCAUACUCUUAGUCUGGAUGACUAACCUAAUAUUACAGCCUCUCAUGGGGUACUGACAGUACCUUGGCUAAAAAGUCCUCAGUUUUCUUUUGUUUUCUUGAAAAUAAGAGAAUGCUCUAUGUUUGAAACCUCUACUGUUUUCACAAAUAACUUGUGAGAGUCUUAUGUAAGACUGAUUCUAUACUGAAAGGGUUUGAGCCCUGCAGAGACACCCCAUCAGGCAGCUUCGAGAGCACCUACUAUGCUGGCUUUCACAGCAAAGUGGCAAGCACAGGGAGCAACCAUUAAAAGCAUUACAAGCAGUUUGCCUCCAGAGUAUUUUGUUCUGUGAGUUGUUUUAGCUGGUUAAAUUCUACAGAAAGGAAGAUGGGAAAUGAUAAUGAGGGCUAAGGAGAAUGGGACUGUCUUGAGAUACUUAAUACCCCUCUCAGUAGGCUGAUAGAUUAUAUGAAAGGAGGGACAAAAAUUGCAUUUUUUGAAAGCAACUCUAAGCUUCAGGGAACCAGGGAAAUUGUUUUCUGCUGUAUUUGUAGGCAUAGUCUCAUCUGCAAGAUAUUUAAAUAUGAGUACCCCUUUAGCACAUAACUUCUGCUAAUUUAGCUAUCUAAAUAGUUUUGUUGAUUUUAUUCUUUAAACUUUAACCUAAAUGGUAAAAACAGAAUACCAAGGAAAUCUUUGUAGUGUCUGUGGAUGUAAUAAGGGUAAAGUGUCAGAAAGUAGGUUUCUGUCUUUUGUACAGUUAGUAUACUCUAGUAUUAACACUUUGUAAAUGACCUGUGCACUUUCAUAUUUCAACUUUCUUACUUAUACUGCAUGUUAGAUGGAAGUGCUAACUUUAAAAUUAGUCAUCCUAAUGUGCAAAGCACUGCAAAAAGAUGGAUGUUUUGAACAUAACAGGCUUUACAUUAAACUCCAGCACAGAUUAGAUGAAUUGUGGAAUUAUGUCUAAUACUCUUAAGGGGUUUUAGUGAUCAAACACACAGUAGAUCCAUGCUGACAUUAGGUCUAGCACAUCUAAAAAACAUAUAAUAGACAUCCAGCAUCCUACAGACCUGCAGUCCUACUGGUUUAUGUUUAAACAUUUACAGUGUAAAAAUGUUGACUGAAAAAGCCCAUUUUUUUAUAGUCAACAAUAACUCCAGUGGUGUUUCUGGGCAGUCCUGUCCCUGUGUAUUUCACAUACUGUAUGCUGUAUGAAUCUACUGCAAUACUGUGUAGCCCUCUUACACUGUAAGUAGACUGAUACUUGCAAAUUGUACCUAUGUGCUAAAAAUAUUUUUGUUUUCACCAUAGGAGAUUGACAUGAAGUCUGUUGUGAUAAUGUAUGAAAGUCUAUACAUUUGUAAUCUAUUUUUUGGAAGAUUUAAAUUAAUUUCUUUUAAGGACCACUGAUUUGCUAGCGUUCACUUACCACUGAGGAAUGCUUUCCCCCACCCAUAGUAUGGAUUUAAUCUCAGGAAUUUUAUUCUCCUAGACUAUUUCAGAAGAUAAGGAGAUGUAUCUAAAACCAUGGCAUCUAAGACAGAUAAACCUGUGCCUGAAAUCUCUUAUCUCUGUCCAGGACUAGACUAGUCAGCUGGAGUUAAGUGAGAUGAAUCUUGUCUACAGUAUGGAGGGCAGCUGCAGCAGAGCUUUAGAUCCCUCAAGAUGGGAAGUUUUCCUCAUGCUUGCAUAGGAAUCUGAGAACUUUGGUUGCUGUCAGAAGUCACUGUGAAUAGUUCAGUAUGGUUAAGUACAGUGACUAAUGAGAAAGCUGGAAAGUUUGAGAUGCAAGCAGUUCAAUUUUAAGUGAUGAACUAGGUGUGUGUUUUCACAGCAAAGAAUGAAAUUAAAUAACCAUUUGUACUAUAGGCUGCAUAAAAAAAUAGCACUGUCUGGUAUUGCUAUCAAUGAAUAUGUGCAUUUUAGACAUUUCUAAAGUUUUGUGGUUUUUUAUUUAAUUUUUAUUUUCACAUUCUACAGCCUUACUAUGUAAGGUGAAACUGAAAAAAUAGAUCUAUGUGGCAAAGCUUUGGUAGCUGUGGGUUGUGUGAGCAGCCUUUAUGAGGAGACAUAAGGAGCUGCCCUUACAUCAGAGAGAGACGCAGCUGGCUCCAAGACAGACCCACCACUAAGUAAAGCUGACCCUAUCCGAAACAGCAGGAGCACCUUUCUGGUAGCGUAUUUGAGAAAGAGAAAAAUGUAUCCAUCAGAAGCUGGAAUAGAGGAGCAAGAAUAUGUAAGAGAAAAAACUCUGUAGGCCCCAAGGUCAGUGCAGAAAGAGGGGGAGGAGGUAGUCCAGGCAUAGAACCAGAGAUUCUCCUACAGCCAGAAGAGAGACUGUAGUGAUGGGCUUUCCUUGCAUCCCAUGGAUAUCCACUGUGGAACAAACAGCCACCUGCUACCUGUAGACAGCCCACAUCAGCACAGGUGAACAGCCCUUAAAAGCAGUGUGAGCCAUGAAGGGCUAUGCUUGACCUCCUGAUGGGAAGCGCAGCCCAUGGAGAGGACACCACACAGGAGGAUGUUUGCUGUCAGCCCUGUGACCAAGGACAGCACUCCACAGCAGGACCCACGCCGGACCAGUCAGCCUGGGGGCUGACUAAUGUUGGAGAAGUUAAUGAAGGACUGUCUUCAGUGGGUAAGCCCUUAUGAGGGAGCAAGUGAAGAGUGUGAGGAGGAAGGAACAGCAUAAUGGAGUGAAUUAUGCUGCAACAGAUCCUUCUCCCCAUCCCUCUGCACCACUUGAGAUACAGGAGUUAAAAGAGUUGGGGGUGAAGUUGAGCUUGGGAAGAAAGGAAAGGUGGGGAGAAUAUGUGGUUUUUAAAUUUUUUUUUCUUAUUUCUUAUUAUUUUAUUCUGCUUGGUAAUAAAUUAAUUUUCCCAAGUCCAGUCUGUUUUCCCCAUGACAAUUGGUAAGUGGUCUCCCUUAUCUCCAUCUAUGUGUUAUUCAUUGUCCCUCUGUCCUGUUAAGGAGCAAGAGUGAUAGAGUAGCUUGGUGGGUGUCUGGCAACUGGCCAAGGUCAACCCACCACAAAAUAAUAAAGAUUUUUUUUUUUUUUCUGAACCUGAGACUAUUUUCUGAACCUGGAAAAUAGAUGUCAGGAAGGAGACAGAAGAGUAACUUGUGAGGGAUGACAACAAAUUCUCCAAAAUACUGAGGCUUCAUCCAUGCACUAGGUUAUGCAAUGUAAUUAGAUUCAUGGUUAAUCAUGGUUCAGUUACUAAUCUGAAUCUGUCCUGGUGAAACAAGAUUUAAACUUGCAUAAAAAUGUCUGUUCAUGAGAUAGGAUAGUUUAACUAAGAUGAAAAGAUAAGAGAGUCCAGUAGAACUUGAUGGCACAGAUGAAUUUCAGACUAAUGUAAAAGCAGCCCUUAAAUACUGGAAGAUAUGGAAGUCUUUUUUUUAAAUAUAAAUUUCAUAAUAAAUUGUUUAGUCAAAAUUACUGCACUUGUUUCUAUUUUUUUUUCAUUUUUAAGCUUCUCAUAUUGUAUUCCUUCUGUAUUCACCUGCGUGACUCCUGAAUCACUCAGUUUAUGUGAGCCAUGGUAGACAUGACUGUAGCAUUUGAAUAUUGAAAUUGAAACAUCAGAAUUAAACUUCCCCUUGCAGAAACACUUGUCAGUUACUGAAGUGAUCUGUUUCCCCUGUGAACUGAUGCAUAAGGGAUUUUAAAUAUGUGCCACUGAAGUGCAUUUUAAAGGCUGUUUUUUUAAAAAACCUUUUGUACAACCCUGAAAUGUCUUUAACUCUCUCUUAACACUGCUUUGUUGGGCACUUGCCAAAAUAAAUUUAUAAUGCAACAUGUAUUAUCUAGUUUACUAGUUGGAAUUUUGUCUAUGUCUGCAUCCUCAGUAUUGAUAAAACUGAGAAUUUUGUUGGAAAAAGGUUAAAUUCUAAAGACAAUUUCAUGGCUUUGAUCUUUAAGCACCAAUCCCAGUAACAUAGAGAAGAGCCACAAAGAGAAAUGAGUGUAUGCUCCAACAACAACUUCAUACUUUGAAACAAAAUGAGAAAAAGGAUUUUGAGGAAAUGAAGUAAAGUAGGUUGAUCCCCAGAAUAUACAAUGAAUGCAAUAUCUUACGUUACAGGUCACCUGAGCUUAUUUUUGCCUGUGCCAGGAAUUGCUCUCUUGCAGACCACACCGAUCUGCAUCACCCAAUAACAGGAAGCAUAUGAUUUCCCUUGGAGACAGGCAGGGGAGCUCUUCACACUGACAUAAUGGAAGUAGAUGCUUUAGGAAUACUUCAGAAAAACUGAUGAGAUGGAUUGUAUAAUUCCUCAGAAAAUGUUCAGAUCUUUUUUGAGUAGCUUUUCUAAUAU